Molecule: ribosomal RNA, 261 nt
Filed under: uncultured bacterium
Lineage: Bacteria
Description: partial 16S ribosomal RNA
Rfam family: Bacterial small subunit ribosomal RNA
Source: RNAcentral
UACGGGGGGGAGCAAGCGUUGUUCGGAAUUACUGGGCGUAAAGCGCGUGUAGGCGGUAAGUUAAGUCUGAUGUGAAAAGCCCCCGGGCUCAACCUGGGAAUGGCAUUGGAAACUGGCUUGCUAGAGUGUGGCAGAGGGGGGGUGGAAUUCCGCGUGUAGCAGUGAAAUGCGUAGAGAUGUGGAGGAACACCGAUGGCGAAGGCAGCCCCCCUGGGCUAACACUGACGCUCAGGCACGAAAAGCGUGGGGGAGCAAAACAGG